UGAUGCAUGACGACCCCUUCCUUUAGUCUUCUUUGGAGCGGUGGACUGUUCACCUUUGGCAAAAUGUGCAAAUAACUCAGUUUGCUGCAAGAGAUACUUCAAUCGCCCCUGUCCCUUGACAUUCAUGUCAGCUUCAAUGGCAGCAUUCUGUGAAUCCAACAUGUCUUGUAUUUUCUGCUUCUUCAUCCUCUGCAUCUCUUUCAACCUGGCCUUUUCGCGCUUCGAGAUUUCAUUGACUGCAACCCCUUCCUCAUUAUCCUCAUCUUCUUGGUCCGCUCCAUCGCUAGGAGCAUCAUCGUCUUCCUCUUCGUCGGAGUCCUCAGCGGCCCUCGCGACGGCCUGAAGUUCCUCUUCAUCUUCGUCGUCAUUGACCUGACCUCGAACUUGCUCCUCCUCGGAACUUUCCGAUACAGACUCCUCCGACGAUGAUCUAUCUCUCGACGGUUUCCCCAUGGCGACGAUGCUAG
Molecule: unclassified non-coding RNA, 467 nt
Filed under: Hevea brasiliensis (rubber tree)
Lineage: Eukaryota; Viridiplantae; Streptophyta; Magnoliopsida; Malpighiales; Euphorbiaceae
Source: RNAcentral